GAGGCAGAGCCUCCUUAAGGGGAGGCAAGCCCAGGAAGGGGCCUUCCCAUCAAGAGGCUAAUCUGAUCCACCUGAUCUGAGACAUAAACCUUGAGCAGCCACAGCCUCCGUUAAAGAAAACAUCCAGCUGAGCAUCUGAUAAUUAGCCCCAAAGGGUGACACGUACAAUUUUAUUUCAAAGAAGGACUUUUAUGCUGGAAAAUAUAUUGAUAAAAAAAACAAACAAAAAAGGCCUUUUGCUUCAAAAAGAAGCCUAAGUGCUACGUUUGCAUGUUUCCUGUUGCAUGUAGACUUCCCUGCUGCAAUUCUGCCCAUUUGGGGACCAUCAGCAAACCAGAAAAAAAUUGAUUCAGACCAAAGUGCCUUGAAUAAUUUAUUGUCUACAGAAAGGCAAAGAAAGGCGGAAAUGUUUUGUUUCAACACCCAGUGUGGAUGUGGUAAUCAGACUCAACUCUGCCCAUUCCCAGCUUGAUGCUCUUCUCUCUGUUGCAUUUAUGCAAGAGCUCCGCAACCAAACUCUGCCUCGCAAAUUCUGCAGAUCAAAAGAGCUCAGCAAAUGUGGAAGAAGUGAAGAAAGGCAGAUUACAAGAGCUGGGCUGUGUGGGACACCAAGGAGGAAAAGACUUUGCUUAGAGGUAGAGCCACUGCCAGAGAGCCAGCAAGUGUGAGCCCAGCUAAUUGAAAGUCCCGAUGUAACAGCAGCUGCAACCUUGCUGGGCCAAACCCUGAGCUGGUGGAAGGCAGUGGAGGGUCGGCGUGUAAAUGGUCCCACGUCCUUCGCAGAAGAGGCAUCGGCAUUGCCUGCUGCAGGGCAGGUAGGAUUUGUAGCCCGGUGAGGCUGAUUUAAGGAAGCUGGGUCUCGCCCACCACUCUCUACCCCAAGGAGUGUGUAUUCAAAGUGUCAGUAACAGCAAGCAAAAACACGGUGGCCAAAAUGAAGUCAUGCAACGGGUCUGGUGUAGAGCGGAGAGUCAGACCUACUUCCACUACCCUGGACACUGGAGCAAACGUGAUAUUUAGUAAGAACAGGCUUGCAUACAAAAUUUUACCAGACCAUCAAGUUAUCCCACAUGCAGAAGCUUCCUUGAUGUAAUUAAUAUAAGCAAGGAUACCUUAGCCAGAAAAUCCCGCUACCUGCUAUCUUGAUAAGAACCAGCUUGUACAUUGAAAAUUCAGACUUGGUACUUUUUCAGCAGCUGAACUUUUGCAAAAGGUAGUUGGCAGCUCAGAACUAAACGACCGUGCAUACUUAUCAACCGAAAACCAUACGUCGCUGGAUUAACAGGUGACACUGCUGGAACAACGCGAAGGAAGGAAGUGCAGAAUCAGAUCUGGUUCCCCUUUACAGCCAUUUGCGUGUGCUUGCCAUCUUUUCACACUGCAUGGCUGUCAAUGACUGCACGAGAGGUAAGGCAACGGGGGAUCAGGCCCUGCCUCAAUGACAGCAGCCAGGAGAAUGCUUUUUGCAGUGCUUAGAAAGGAUUCCUCACAAAAAACCACUGGUUGCUCCUGGGGGAGCAGGAGGAGACUACAGCUCCUCAGUCACCUCUGGGAAAGGUUAGCAAAGAAACACUUACUGGAAAGGUUGACAGGAGCUGUUAGAAAAGGAUAUCUCCAGAUAAUGGCUCAGAGGAGAAAGUCCUCCAGACACAGUGGUCCCCAGUGCUGGAGCACAGGGCAAUGCCGGAGCGAGAUGUCCCAGCACCCUCCGGAACAGAGCGGGGUGGCUGGGAAGGUGCUGGGCCGCAGGGUGCUACGAUGGGCCUAAACCUUCGCUGGAAGUGCGAAGCAUCCCAUAGCAGAGACCACAGAGCACGUGGCAAGCGGGGAUGCUCUUGAGAAGCUCCGAUGUCUAGCAACACAGGAUGAAGGAUUACUCCCAUUUAACCUCCCCAUGUUGCUGUGCAAAAGCAAGACAUUUGCAACACACCUAAGCAAGUUAUGAAACAUGGCAUAUUGUUUUGUUUGGCUAGAGACAACAUUUUUCUGUUCUUUUUUUUUUUACUUUUAGAGGGAAUCGAAGCUUUUUCACUAUAUAAAUGAAGGUCCACCUAGAUUCAGAAAAACUCAUCAAGAUUAAUUCCUAAAAUAGAUAAAUGAAAGCACAUUAAACACCUAUGUAGACACAGUCAUUUGGAAUUAAAGGGUCCAUAAUUAAGUUUUACUUAAUUCACUUUGGAAGUGACUUGAGACAAAUUGAAUUAAGACUACUUUAAUUUUAAAUGAAAGUAUCCAGACCUGGGUUUAAUGUAAUUUAACUAAUCCACUUGCAUUUCACACCACUAGUUCGUUUUGGUUUAAUUUUCCCUUGUAAGCAAGCUCUUGAACAGACAUCAGGAACACAACUUUAUUUUCCCUUUUCCAUCUAGAGAGGGAGCCACAGAUCUUCUUUUCCCAACAAACUUCCCCUCUGUGCAGUUUAAGCCCAUUUCACUAUGCUUGGGGUGAGUCUCACCUGCUGUGUGCAAGAUGCCUGCUUUGACAUCCACAUCAAAAAGGAGCUAGGGAUGUUAUUUUGAUAGUGUUUCUGAGCCAUCUCCCAAGGAAGUCCCCUCUUGCAGGAUUUCCAAGCUCACCUCCAGGAGAAGGUUUCAAACUUCAGUGAUAUGCGGUAAGUGAUAAGAUUUGGAGGCCGGCUCUGGGAAGGCACUGUUGAGGAUUAUUGGCCUGGCUUGAGGUGUGCCAGGAUCCAGGUAGACUUUUAAGUGAACUGAAGUAGGGCUGAUCACAAAGGGCUUUGGCAGAGCUCAAGAGGAGAGAUGUAAUGUGCGAGGGCUGGAAAGACUCCAGCCAAUGAUCUCAGUUUAAUUAAUACCAUUUAAAAGGCUGCAAAGGUCAGUUAUAGGUUCCCUGAACUGCAGCAGUAACAUGAGGGUGGUGAUGUUCUUCCAGGGUGAUUAAAAUGAGGGAUCUCUUUGGAGCUUCAAACAAUGAGAAGCGACUAAUGUAGCCACCAGCAACUGAACAAGCAGACCCAGGGCUGGAAGAGACCUCAGGCAUUAGAGAAAAGUGUUUCCAAGGGAGGGAGAAGGUCAGUGUCACUAAUGUAGAUGGCACAUGCCCAAAUCUUGCUACAUCUGGUUUGAACUAGCAUGGUUCAAAUGAAGUUAAGUUCAUCCCAAGUCUCUUAAGGUGCCAGGUAGGCCUACAAGAGCGCAUAUAAUCCCCUGACAGUUUGGGUUUCACAUAGAGAAGGGCCGUGUUCCCAUUGGUAAUAACAACGGUGGUAGUUUUCAUCAUUUCAACUUGCAGUGGGCAUUGUCUGUUUACACAGGCUUUGGAAAAGGAAGAUGGUCUCAAAUCACAAGAAGACAAAUCAGUUCCAAAACCAUUUAGACAGUCAGACAGCUUGUCCUUCUCUUAAUACCCAAGGAAUCGUUAGAUCCACACUUUGCUUGCAAGGUCUCCCCAUAAACCCACAUCUUGUAACACCCUGCAUCUGCUAAGAGCGCUAGUAAAGUCGUCUGGUGCCCAUCCAUCUUGGUGAAAUGGUUCAAGGCUUAACAGAGGGGAGGCAUGCACAGUUCAUCCAGGCGUUACAUUUUCUGGAGUAAGGAAUGAGGUUCAGGAGUAAACUUUACCCAGAACAGAGCUGGCAAAUCAUAAAAAAGUUGAUUUUUUUUCAGCAAAAAGAAAGCUCUUCUUUGUUAGCAGUCAGAAGCUGACUUUUCUUUUCAGCCACAAACCAAAGCAGUUGGAGAAACCCUGCCAGGGAGGUGCGGCUUGGCUCCUGAGUGCCUACACACUUCCCUACAGCGCCUUUGAUUUCCUAAAUCAAACUACACUUCCCAGAAGGCACUUUCCUUGGCAGAGGGAAGGCACUGCCGCCAGGCAGGCCCAUGGCUAGGGCUAGGCAUAGUUUAGUUUUUCAGACAUUUGAUUUUUUCCAACAAGACAAGUGGGAAAACACGUUAUGUGAAAAUUUCAUUUAAUCAAAAGAAAAUCACGUCUUAUAGGAAAAAAAAAAAAAAAACCUCAGCUAAGACGGAAUAUUUUCAACCAGCCUAAUGAUAACUAUCCCACAGCUCCCUAAAUCUGGCUCCUUGCCUUCACAUAAGCAGCGAAUGUAUUGGAACUCCUGCUGUCAGCAUUUUAGCUCAUUUAUGACCCGCCACCUCUUUUCAAAUAAAUUCCUAUUGAAUUAUCUGAAGUGAACAGAGAGCAAGAGGGGAAAGGAAUUCAGGCUCGCAGGAUAAUACAGAAGUUAUUUCAGCUGGAAGAUCAAGUGCAUUGCAUCCAUUGAAAAAUAAUUUAAAAUGGUGAGGGAGGUGUUCUGGACUCAGCGGGAAGUUGAUGACUGAUUUGAAUUCAGGUUUGCGCACCCUUUUACGAGGAAAGCCUCUGGAAAAUAAAAGUCCCCAGAGAGCUCUCUUGGGAUGUGUCAAACGUUACAAGCCAAAGCAAAUUGGCGGUGUGACACCCAGCUCCAGCCAAAGCCCAAGGCGGAGGGUCCAGGUACCCGCCUUCUCCCAAGGGCAGCCGGCACGGCAGCAGAAGUGACACCGUCCCGCAGGACGGAGCUCCUCAACCAGCUCCUUAUCGCUGGGAAACGUCACUCCAGCAACGUGCGUAGCCCCAGGGAGAGGUGCCCACAGCUACCGCCUUGCCCGAGCACACAGGGUGAUACCCAAAGGGAUACGACACGGAUGUAAAAUCGCGCAGAGCUUUGGGGCACUCACCAGCUUGGUUUAACACCCCCCCGAGCAGAGGGAUGGACCAGCAAGGAGAGCGGUGCGCCGUCAACUGAAAGACGGGGUCCUGCUCCCUUCGUGACCGUUAGCUGCCUUCAUCAGCCCUUAUUCCUGCCUUAGUUUUUCCUCUCUAUGAUAAUAGAGACCCAUUUUUGUGAUUCAUUCAAGCUCUCUGGGUACAAAUUGCUAAUAAUGGCAAAUACUCCUGAAGGUAGUUUAAAGAAACAUAGCUAAUCCUGUUUGUUUUGUACCAUUGCUUACUCACACUGCUGAUAUAUACAAAUAUAUGUGUCUUUUUCUUGUUAAGAUUCAUUUCAUUUUUAAGUGCAUGUGAGAAGAGCCAGAGUUCAGCUAUACAUCUCUUGUUAUUAAUGUUUUUUAAAUGUUAAUAAGUACAUGUUGUUAUGAUUUCAUCUCCUGUGCAAAAAAAAAAAGCUGCGCUUUGAGUGUGUAUUACUCUGGGAGACCGGCCGUGUUUACAUCCUUUAUGAGAUUGGUCUUUGUUUUCUGAGGCUCACGGAGUGUCUUCUCCAUUUCACAGCACACUAAGGAUUAACACCCAAACUGUGAAAUGCAUUGUACUUCCACUGUUAAUCUGUCACAUUAAAAAA
Molecule: long non-coding RNA, 5302 nt
Organism: Dromaius novaehollandiae (emu)
Lineage: Eukaryota; Metazoa; Chordata; Aves; Casuariiformes; Dromaiidae
Exons: 4
Source: RefSeq, a predicted model, not a curated record